UUCUCAAACUUAAGCGUGCAUCAGAAUCACCUGGAGGGCUUGUUCAAACGCAGAUCGCCGGUCCCUUCUCCCAGAGUUUCCGACUCAGGAGGUGGGGCCAGAGAAUCUGCAUUUCUAACAAGUUCCAGACGUUCUAAUGCCAUUGGAAUACAUUUUAAGAACUUCUGCUUUAGAGGGAACUCCGGACCGAUCUCAGCUUCCCAGAGAAACGACCUCCGCAAAGAGAACUGGAAACUCCAAGGCAAUCCAAGGCCCGGCAUUUUUACAACAGACCGCAGAGGAGGGAGAGCAAAGUUGCUCAGCUACGGCUAGCUCACUGCCGCGAAGGAACAGGAGCUCAUUGGAAAUCAAGAUUUUCGUUUGAAUUUUCCCGAUGUUUAAGCGUUGGGACAAAGUCCAAGGCCUUGGAAUCUGAGUGGAGCAGCACCGCACUGCCCGCGAACUCCCUGCGCUGGGGUCAGAACUAGCGUCUUUGCCCUACCCUGCGGAAGUCAGAACCGCCCUGAGCCGCGUCGUGAGUCGGAAAAUGCGUCUUAGAAAAACCCUCCAGGAGAGGAGCCGCUGGGGGACCACAGCGUGGGGUUUUCGUGGGCUUCCUCGCUACUCCUGGGCUGGAGUGCACGCGCCCAGAGAAUAGCUGGGCUCCCGACUCCUCCGGGCUCCAGCGAAGCCGCAAACAGUGCGGGAAGUUCAAAUGCAAAAUGUCCCCGUCCUGCAGAAGCAGGGGAAAGCUGGGGAGAAGGGACUCGAGUCCUCAGAGAUCUUCAUCCGGUCCUCCAGGGUAAUAAACUUUCGGCGGUUCGAGUUUGGGUAGCAACUGGUCGCGCGCCCUCGUCAGUGUGUUAGCCAUUUCCCUGGAAGCGUCCUUGGUGUCGAAAGCCCAGAGCCGCGAGGAAGCAGAUGACCGAGUCGGCGGAAAUGUCCGAGUGAACCAGCAGCGCAGCUCUCGGAUGGCGCACUGGGAGGGGGACAGCUGAGCACAGACUCAGUGCCCUGAGCGCAGCUGGGUCCUGUAGGCUCUGGGACUUCCCUCUCCUCACACCCAGACCCCGCAACUCGCCGUGGGCCCAGUGGCCUGUCUUCCAUGCCGGCCGUUGGCGCCCGGGGUGUCCGACCGACUGUGCUGCUCCUAGGUGGGCCCCCACAAUGCGUGCGCUCUAGACGCCAGCGUAGGCAAGGGAAGUUUCCUGGGCUGAGAGUGGAGAAACUCAACGGUCCCUCCCGGGCGGGCGCUGAGGCGCCGUGAGAGCACUGCAUGCAACGCCGCGCCGCGCUCAGCCUGGGUCUCCCUUUGGCCGUGGGGCACGCACCUGCCCUCUGCAGCAGCCAGGCUUGGACUCUGCCGAGGGGCUGCCCGGCCACGCGGCUUCCCCCAAAGCCUGGAGCUCGCCGACUCUUCCCUACCUUUCAAAGACCGCAGCGCUCGGGCCAGCGUGGCCCAGACUCCACUGUGGAACUUCGGAGGCUGGGGUGGGCGAAGUAAACACGUUUAUGGAAAAACCUGGGCUCAGGAGGUUUGCGGAAAGAGGGCUCAGCUCGUAGGUGGUUGGAAAUUCCGUCCACCCUGCGAGAAAAGCAGGCGGUUCCGCACACAACAUAUAUACACACGCGCACACACAGGGUGGGAAGGUGUGAAGCCCGCUGCUCGGGAGUUGCCCCCACUUUGAUGAAAAGGAAAUACGAAGCGUAGGAACAACUCUUCAGGUCACCACCCCGGGACUGUGUGUCCUGGAGGUCUGAAAGAAGAGAAAGUUCCCUCCAAAUCUUCCAAAUUGAGAAAAGCUGCGGAAGGAAUGAGGCGGUUAGAGAGAGGGGACCGCAAGCAUCCCCGUAGCUGGGGCUCAGGACUGAGCGCUAAAAUGAAACCACCCCUGUAGAUCCCACUAGGGAAAAUGUCUUUUUAAAACCCUUGAACUCUUAGGCAUUCUGCUACUUCCAUGCUUGUCAAAUCUACUUUGAAGCAGUUAAAUAAUGAAGGAUAUUAAACACUCUGGUCUCCGUUCCAAACUCACUCUUUAAUCUUUGCGAAUUUGAAAUUAGAAGGAAAGGAAAAGAAGAUCUGCUAUCCCUGAAUUAUGUUUUACCAAAGGAACGAAAAAUUCUAUACACUUCAGCAUAAAUAAAAUAGAAGGAAUUUUAUCUUAAUAAAAUAAUAUCUCGUAGCUUCCACCUGGCUCCCCAAUCACUGGUUAAUAACCUUUUGACAGUUUUUAGCCUUCUGCUUAUAUUUGUCCACUUAUAUUUGUUCACGAUGGAGAUUAUUUUAAUUGUCCUUCGGGGCGGCACAUCCAAAGCCACCUUUUGGCGGAAUACUUUUGAAUUAUACAGCCUCUUGGCUGCAAGAUCUGCGCCCCUCAAAGGGAGGACUUGCUGGGGGGGCGGAGGGCCAAGCCAAAUCCCCUCUGGCGUCUCGUCUGGGACGAAGGGCGUUUUGCUCAGGGUUGCUCACGAAUAUGUCUUCUAGGAAAAGGCUGUUUAAAAUGAGCGUGUGUUAUUCCUUUCUGUCACUCGGUCACCCUACUUCCAGAGUAGCUGAAGUGCGUUCUGCAAGUACGCUCACACAGGACCAAACUUUUAGAAGAACCUGAAAAAUGUAUCACUACACUUCAGAUUCAAUUAAGUUUCCUGGCAACGGAACAAUGAACUCUACUUUUGCUAGGAAUGAAGAUGUUCAUGUUUUGAGAAGCUAGAAUCGUAUUUUCCUGAAUUUUUAAAAUGAUUAUUCUUCACCCAUUCCAGAUGGAUGCUUUAUUGCUUGCCAAUGGGUUGCAGAUAACCACCUCUUCAACCAAGUUGGUUAACUGCUUAUGAAAUCUACAUUGGCUCAUUAAAGCUUAAAUAUUGGAACAAAUUUC
This is a long non-coding RNA of Equus asinus (donkey), 2855 nucleotides long. The record is from Ensembl. NCBI's taxonomy places the organism in Eukaryota, Metazoa, Chordata, Mammalia, Perissodactyla, Equidae.